GAUGGAAAGCGGCGAAAGGGAGAGUAACACGCGGGUACCUACCCUCAGGACCGGGAUAGCUGCGGGAAACUGCAAUUAAUACCGGAUGAAGUCUCCGGACCAAAGGUGUGAUUCCGCCGGAGGAGGGGCCCACGUCCUAUCAGCUAGUUGGCGAGGUAAUAGCUCACCAAGGCUACGACGGGUACGGGGUGUGAGAGCAUGCCCCCGCUCACUGGGACUGAGACACUGCCCAGACACCUACGGGUGGCUGCAGUCGAGAAUCUUCCGCAAUGGGCGAAAGCCUGACGGAGCGACGCUGCGUGCGGGAUGAAGGCCUUCGGGUUGUAAACCGCUGUCAGUGGGGAGGAAAUGCAUGGGGGUUCUCCCUCGUGUUUGACCGAUCCGCAGAGGAAGCACAGGCUAAGUUCGUGCCAGCAGCCGCGGUAACACGAACUGUGCAAACGUUAUUCGGAAUCACUGGGCUUAAAGAGUUCGUAGGCGGCACGUUAAGUCGGGUGUGAAAUCCCUCGGCUCAACCGAGGAAUUGCGUCCGAAACUGGCGUGCUUGAGUGAGAUAGAGGUGAGCGGAACUGAUGGUGGAGCGGUGAAAUGCGUUGAUAUCAUCAGGAACACCGGUGGCGAACGCGGCUCACUGGGUCUCAACUGACGCUGAGGAACGAAAGCUAGGGGAGCGAACGGGAUUAGAUACCCCGGUAGUCCUAGCCGUAAACGAUGA
This 715-nucleotide ribosomal RNA is filed under the name uncultured organism. RNAcentral's name for it is "bacterial SSU rRNA". It matches the Rfam family "Bacterial small subunit ribosomal RNA", at positions 87 to 812 of the family's 1533-position model. The record is from RNAcentral.